This is a non-coding RNA of Acanthosepion pharaonis, 81 nucleotides long. The record is from the annotation of a GenBank genome assembly. NCBI's taxonomy places the organism in Eukaryota, Metazoa, Mollusca, Cephalopoda, Sepiida, Sepiidae.
CGUACGAUCACCGAAGUUAAGCAACGUUGAGCCUGGUCAGUACUUAGAUGGGUGACCAUUUUGGAAUACCAGCUGCUGUAA